This 301-nucleotide ribosomal RNA is filed under the name uncultured bacterium. RNAcentral's name for it is "partial 16S ribosomal RNA". It matches the Rfam family "Bacterial small subunit ribosomal RNA", at positions 509 to 808 of the family's 1533-position model. The record is from RNAcentral.
CAGCCGCCACGGGAAUACGUAGGUGGCAAGCGUUGUUCGGAAUUAUUGGGCGUAAAGGGUGCGUAGGCGGUUUGAUAAGUUUGAUGUGAAAUCUCUGGGCUCAACCCAGAGUCUGCAUCGAAAACUGUCGGGCUUGAGUAUGGGAGAGGUGAGUGGAAUUUCCGGUGUAGCGGUGAAAUGCGUAGAUAUCGGAAGGAACACCUGUGGCGAAAGCGGCUCACUGGACCAUUACUGACGCUGAUGCACGAAAGCUAGGGGAGCAAACAGGAUUAGAUACCCCCGGUAGUCCCUGUCUCUUAUU